GGAUUGUGGCUCAGUGUAGAGUGCUUGCCUAGCACACAUGAGGCACUGGGUUCGAUCCUCAGCACCA
RNAcentral lists this transfer RNA (67 nucleotides) under Marmota monax (woodchuck). RNAcentral describes it as "tRNA.Ala". The record is from RNAcentral. Lineage: Eukaryota; Metazoa; Chordata; Mammalia; Rodentia; Sciuridae.